Molecule: ribosomal RNA, 433 nt
Filed under: uncultured bacterium
Lineage: Bacteria
Description: partial 16S ribosomal RNA
Rfam family: Bacterial small subunit ribosomal RNA
Source: RNAcentral
AGCGAACGCUGGCGGCAGGCCUAACACAUGCAAGUCGAACGAACUCUUCGGAGUUAGUGGCGGACGGGGUAGUAACACGUGGGAACGUUCCUUUUGGUUCGGAAUAACUCAGGGAAACUUGUGCUAAUACCGAAUGUGCCCUUCGGGGGAAAGAUUUAUCGCCAUUAGAGCGGCCCGCGUCUGAUUAGCUAGUUGGUGAGGUAACGGCUCCCCAAGGCGACGAUCAGUAGCUGGGAUGAGAGGAUGACCAGCCACACUUGGACUGAGACACGGCCCAGAAUCCUACGGGAGGCAGCAGUGGGGAAUCUUGCGAAAUGGGCGAAAGCCUGACGCAGCCAUGACGCGUGAAUGAUGAAGGUCUUAGGAUUGUAAAAUUCUUUCAACGGGGACGAUAAUGACGGUACCCGGAGAAGAAGCCCCGGCUAACUUCGUG